This is a non-coding RNA of Oryzias latipes (Japanese medaka), 710 nucleotides long. Lineage: Eukaryota; Metazoa; Chordata; Actinopteri; Beloniformes; Adrianichthyidae. The record is from RefSeq and is a predicted model, not a curated record.
GAACAGCCGCUGCAUGCAUGCUGGUCUACAUCACUUCCAAAGGUCUGACUGUCAGAGCAGAAACAGUCACCAAACAGGCAGUCAGUGCGGGUGGCUGCGCCGCGGCCCGGCAUGGCGGCACCACCAAGAGCCCACAGCCGGCUGGCGGUUACCGGCAGGAAUGUGAGGAAUGAGAGACUCGUGGAUCCUGUCAGCUCUAAUAAGAUCAUCUCAAUGUGUUUGAUGAAGCUGUGAUGUGGGGGAGCAGCAGGUCUACUCCAAGCUCCCUCCAGUUGACCGAGUUCCUCACCCUAUUUCUAAGGGAGAACCUGGCUUAAAUCUCACUUUGGACGCUUGUAUCCUGGACCUUUUUUCAGUUAUGACCAAUGUUCUUGACCUUUGAUGAGUGUUGGGAGAAAGAUUUUUUGUCUAUCUUCUACUCCAUUCUUCCCUCACUCUUGAACAAAACCACAAGAUGUUAAAACUCCUCCACCCGGGAUAAGGGUCACCCACCCACAGAGGACAACCCACCUCUCUCCGGGAACCAUGCCUCAGACGUGGCGACACCGGUCCUCAUCCCAGCUGCUUCACAAAUACAAACCACACCAAAGGCACGAUGGAUGUUUUGCCUCUGUGAAACCAACAGGACAACUUUAUCUGGAAAAUCCAGCUCUAAUAAAAUAAAUAGAGCUGAUUUGUUAAAAACAAAAAUAAAUCAGUCUAUUCUGAAA